AAGUAUUAAAAAAAAGACAAGUAAGGGAUCUUGUAAAAGAAUAAAAGAACUUCGAGGUGGAUGGGUCAAGGGCCGACUAGAUAAAUAUAAUUACUUUACAAGAUCCCUAAUGUUGUUGGUGCUGCUGUUGCCGCUCUAACUGAUGGUGGUGCUGCUUCUGCAGCCGGCGUUUUUUUAACACAUUGACUCCACAUUGACCGGUCUGUACCAACAACCCAAAACAUUCAUAAAUACAAAACAGAACAAGAUGAAGAUAAUCAGGCAUCAGUAUAAGGGAUAAAUGGUCUUGAAGAUAUGCAUCCAACCAAGGUGAUGGCAACUACUCUUUAGCCAGAUAAUCAGAUUCUUUGACAAACUU
Long non-coding RNA from Nematostella vectensis (starlet sea anemone), 358 nucleotides. RefSeq lists it as uncharacterized. The transcript is spliced from 2 exons. NCBI's taxonomy places the organism in Eukaryota, Metazoa, Cnidaria, Anthozoa, Actiniaria, Edwardsiidae. The record is from RefSeq and is a predicted model, not a curated record.